AAUUUAAAAAUUAUACUUUUAAUUCAAAUUUAAAUUUUUAAUUAAAAUUUAAAUUUUAAAUUAUUUUAAAAAUAAAAUUUAGUAAAAAUAUUAAUAUAUGCAAAAUCAAAAAUUUUUUGCCAAAUAGUUUUAGAAAAUCACUUCAGAAAAAUCACUUUUUUUUAAAUUCAACCAAACGCUCUACAUCUUUUCACCAAAAUCAAUUCUCCAAACUAAAAUCACUUCUACAUAAAUCACUUCUCCAGAAGCUAGGCCAAAUAGUGCAAUCGCUGCAGGUGCACAUUUUUUAUUUUUCUUUUAUUUAUAAAAUAUAGGCUAAAUUACAGAAAAUCCACCCACAGUAAAUAUCCAUUUUUUUUACUUUUUUUCUAUCAUUUAAAAACCUACACUUUAUCCCUUUAAAAAUAAAAAAUAUAAACAGAAGAUACACUGUGACAAAAUAACCAAAUUGUCCAUCAUCUUCUUCGGGAUGGCCAUGGACGGAGAGGCGGGCGAGGGCGAUGGUGAGGCGACAGAGGCAGGUGAGGGCGUGUGUGUGGGCACGAACAGAGAGGUGGGCAAGGGCCAGGCGACGGAGGGCGAGGCGGCGCGGCGGAGGGAGGCAGCACGGCCGAGGAUGAAAAAGGAGGAGGAUUUCAAAAGUAUUUUGGGUAUAAAAAAUAGGAUAUAAACGGACCCUAACGGGACAUUGACAGCGGGAUUAAAGUGAACAUUUUUCAUUUUUUAAGGGAGCAAAGUGUAGGUUUUUGAAUGACAGGGAGAAGAAAGUAAAAAAAGGGUAUUUAGAGAGAGGUUUUUUGUAAUUUAGCCUAAAAUAUAAUAAUAGUAUUAAUGUGUGGGCAUAAAUAUUCAAAAAUAGAGAUUAGCUACAAAAUAAUAUGAAAAAAGUGAUAACGAGUCGAUCAAGCCGAGGCACGAAAUCUCGUUCUCUUUAUUCUAAGUCCUCUGCGGUUGCCAAAACUUUUGAACUGAUGCAGCAAAAUACUGACUUAUUCCUUUCAGGAUAAAAUGGCUCGACUUUUGUUGUGUGGUUUCACCAACUCUGCACAAGUAGAUGAGCCCAAAGCUAUACAAAAAAAUACAUUUUUAUCCUCUCUCUUAA
RNAcentral lists this long non-coding RNA (1102 nucleotides) under Ananas comosus (pineapple). RNAcentral describes it as "long non-coding RNA (ACOM_LNC034599)". The record is from RNAcentral. Lineage: Eukaryota; Viridiplantae; Streptophyta; Magnoliopsida; Poales; Bromeliaceae.